RNAcentral lists this long non-coding RNA (220 nucleotides) under Physcomitrium patens. RNAcentral describes it as "long non-coding RNA (PPAT_LNC010255)". The record is from RNAcentral. Lineage: Eukaryota; Viridiplantae; Streptophyta; Bryopsida; Funariales; Funariaceae.
GAAUGUAGAUACCUAAUGUAUAGUAUAAACAAAGAUAGAUAACUGCUGAAAAGGUGGUUCAGCAGAUAGAAUGGAUGAAUAGUUAGAAAAAGUAGUUAUCAUCUAUAGUAUAGGAGUUGGUAUCUCAGGAUAGUAUAAAGAGGAUGGGAGAGGGGAAGAAAAUGCCAGACUGUGAAAAUUGUGAGCCGAAGGCCAAACUACGAUAGUACUGAGCUAGGGA